This 323-nucleotide long non-coding RNA is filed under the name Androctonus crassicauda. The record is from RNAcentral. Lineage: Eukaryota; Metazoa; Arthropoda; Arachnida; Scorpiones; Buthidae.
UAUUAAUAUACUUAUGGGGAUUGGUUUAUUUCAGUCUGCCAGGGCAGGUAAAACUUUCCAGCCUGCUACUGAUUAUUGACUUGCAAAAUUAUCUAGAGGUAUCACAAAAACUUAUCAUGAUAAGAAUAUUAUUAAAUAUACAGUAUUUUACAAUAUCAAUAAGAACUUUUCACACCCAAUUGUAUAAGGUUCCCCAGUGCAACCCUAAUGCAUCACAAGAAGCACACAUUUCAAAGCAUUACAGAUUUGAGCACUUCUAUACCAUUUUCUAUAGAAGUGCCAAUUCAUAUUUUGUAUAUCCUUUUCAAGUUGUUUAUGUAAUA